GAUGAACGCUGGCGGCGUGCCUAAUACAUGCAAGUCGAGCGAACAGACGAGGAGCUUGCUCCUCUGACGUUAGCGGCGGACGGGUGAGUAACACGUGGAUAACCUACCUAUAAGACUGGUAUAACUUCGGGAAACCGGAGCUAAUACCGGAUAAUAUAUUGAACCGCAUGGUUCAAUAGUGAAAGACGGUUUUGCUGUCACUUAUAGAUGGAUCCGCGCCGCAUUAGCUAGUUGGUAAGGUAACGGCUUACCAAGGCAACGAUGCGUAGCCGACCUGAGAGGGUGAUCGGCCACACUGGAACUGAGGCACGGUCCAGACUCCUACGGGAGGCAGCAGUAGGGAAUCUUCCGCAAUGGGCGAAAGCCUGACGGAGCAACGCCGCGUGAGUGAUGAAGGUCUUCGGAUCGUAAAACUCUGUUAUUAGGGAAGAACAAAUGUGUAAGUAACUAUGCACGUCUUGACGGUACCUAAUCAGAAAGCCACGGCUAACUACGUG
Molecule: ribosomal RNA, 497 nt
Filed under: uncultured bacterium
Lineage: Bacteria
Description: partial 16S ribosomal RNA
Rfam family: Bacterial small subunit ribosomal RNA
Source: RNAcentral